UAUNGCUCAAUGGGGGAAACCCUGAAGCAGCNACGCCGCGUGGAGGAUGACACUUUUCGGAGCGUAAACUCCUUUUGUUAGGGAAGAACAAUGACGGUACCUAACGAAUAAGCACCGGCUCACUCCGUGCCAGCAGCCGCGGUAAUACGGAGGGUGCAAGCGUUACUCGGAAUCACUGGGCGUAAAGGACGCGUAGGCGGAUUAUCAAGUCUCGUGUGAAAUCCUAUGGCUUAACCAUAGAACUGCUUGGGAAACUGAUAAUCUAGAGUGAGGGAGAGGCAGAUGGAAUUGGUGGUGUAGGGGUAAAAUCCGUAGAGAUCACCAGGAAUACCCAUUGCGAAGGCGAUCUGCUGGAACUCAACUGACGCUAAUGCGUGAAAGCGUGGGGAGCAAACAGG
RNAcentral lists this ribosomal RNA (398 nucleotides) under uncultured bacterium. Its description in RNAcentral is "bacterial SSU rRNA". It matches the Rfam family "Bacterial small subunit ribosomal RNA", at positions 362 to 776 of the family's 1533-position model. The record is from RNAcentral.